CUUGAAGUGUGUUAAUAGCAAUAUAUCCAGCAACCUGUCUGAAGUUUUGCCAGAACAACUACAACAUUGGACCACAUGCAUUGGAACCUUAUGAUUUAAGGACUACCAAUGGGGAAGGGCUGUAUUUAAUUGUUGCUGUUAGCUAUCUUGGUACCAGUUAUGCCAACAUUUACCUACCUGCAGCUGCAGCAGAGGCCCUGCCGACUUUAAACAAUCAUUAAGCUGACACUCCUUGUUGUGCGCUGGCAGAAAUGCAAAGUGGUACCACCAGUCGUCUAUGCCACCUGUCCCCUCAUUUUAGAGGCUAAUGUGGACAGUCCCUGCAGUUUACAGCUAAGCCCUCAGUAUAGCCCUACAAAUUUUAGAUACUGCCGAUGGCGCUUAGAUCCAGUACAUUGGGCCUGAGUUUCCAGUACGGCGAACUAGAGCCAGGAUUAAUAUCAGACGGACCUCUCUGUGGGUGGAUGGAUUCAGAGAUGACCCCAAAGAUGCGGCCAUGACUGUGUCAGAUGGACGUUAUUGAUGAAACCAUCAUGAUUUAGUUUUUUGGUGAUAAAUCAACAGACAAAGUGUGUAUAAUUUGUGGAUAAAUAGUGUUAAAGCUAGAAACUUUUCUACGAAUUCCUACUCAAGUGGUGAACUGGAAUAAUAUUGUAUAUAACAAAGAAGAGAAUCUUGUUGUGGGCCGUCUUCAUACACAAUUCUGCAGUCAUCUGCACUGGACCUGUUGGGGCAGUUUGAUUUGAUUUAUAA
Long non-coding RNA from Mya arenaria, 753 nucleotides. RefSeq lists it as uncharacterized. Lineage: Eukaryota; Metazoa; Mollusca; Bivalvia; Myida; Myidae. The transcript has 5 exons. The record is from RefSeq and is a predicted model, not a curated record.